UAGGGAAUCUUCGGCAAUGGGGGGAACCCUGACCGAGCAACGCCGCGUGAGUGAAGAAGGUUUUCGGAUCGUAAAGCUCUGUUGUUAAGGAAGAACGAGUGUGAGAAUGGAAAGUUCAUACUGUGACGGUACUUAACCAGAAAGGGACGGCUAACUACGUGCCAGCAGCCGCGGUAAUACGUAGGUCCCGAGCGUUGUCCGGAUUUAUUGGGCGUAAAGCGAGCGCAGGCGGUUAGAUAAGUCUGAAGUUAAAGGCAGUGGCUCAACCAUUGUAGGCUUUGGAAACUGUUUAACCUGAGUGCAGAAGGGGAGAGUGGAAUUCCAUGUGUAGCGGUGAAAUGCGCAGAGAUAUGGAGGAACACCAGUGGCGAAGGCGACUUUCUGGUCUGUAACUGACGCUGAUGUGCGAAAGCGUGGGGAUCAAACAGG
Molecule: ribosomal RNA, 429 nt
Filed under: Bacteroidota bacterium
Lineage: Bacteria; Pseudomonadati; Bacteroidota
Description: Bacteroidetes bacterium partial 16S ribosomal RNA
Rfam family: Bacterial small subunit ribosomal RNA
Source: RNAcentral